CACGCCGUAAACGGUGGGCGCUAGGUGUGGGGAACAUUCCACGUUCUCCGUGCCGCAGCUAACGCAUUAAGCGCCCCGCCUGGGGAGUACGGCCGCAAGGCUAAAACUCAAAGGAAUUGACGGGGGCCCGCACAAGCGGCGGAGCAUGCGGCUUAAUUCGAUGCAACGCGAAGAACCUUACCUAGGCUUGACAGUUGGGGAAAACUGGCAGAGAUGUCAGGUCCUUUUGGGCCACAAAACAGGUGG
RNAcentral lists this ribosomal RNA (246 nucleotides) under uncultured Actinomycetales bacterium. RNAcentral's name for it is "partial 16S ribosomal RNA". It matches the Rfam family "Bacterial small subunit ribosomal RNA", at positions 796 to 1041 of the family's 1533-position model. The record is from RNAcentral. Lineage: Bacteria; Bacillati; Actinomycetota; Actinomycetes; Actinomycetales.